This is a long non-coding RNA of Chionomys nivalis (European snow vole), 453 nucleotides long. RefSeq lists it as uncharacterized. The record is from RefSeq and is a predicted model, not a curated record. The transcript is spliced from 3 exons. Lineage: Eukaryota; Metazoa; Chordata; Mammalia; Rodentia; Cricetidae.
AAUCUCUUCAUGUAAGAGAGAAUGUUUCCUUACAAAUAAAUAAUUUAAAUUCCUGAAAGUCAUACAGCAAGUUAAUUAAAUCCUCCAUUUUAUUAUUCUAUGGCAGUACCGUGCGCCAUUAUAAUUCAUAUUCUUUCUAAUUACUCACUGCUGCUUUUCUCUGUUUCACAGCAAUAACCCAGCAUCUCCACCUGUGCAAUAAUUAACCACCUCGUGCUGCUCCAGCUUCCAUGAACUCCUCAUUCUAGGCACCCACAGGCAUCCCAGUACCUUACUCUCCUAGUUCUGAUCAAGAUUCCCACCAAGAUAAUUUGUAGGAUUUUCUUUUUACUCUCACAAUCCUUGGAAAGCAAUAAGUUCAGCAGAGGAACGUCUUCCAGCAGAAAGCUUAUCAGCAUGUAAAGAUCUUCUCUACUGCUGUAGCACCAUGCCUGUCUUCUUCCUGAGAUGAUG